ACAUGCCUGUAAACCAAACACUUUGGGAGGCUGAAGUGGGUGGAUCACUUGAGCUCAGGAAUUCAAGACCACCCUGGGCAACUUAGCAAAAUCCUGUCUCUACGAAUAAAUAAAUAAAUAAAUAAAUAAACCCACGAAAAUUAGCCAGGUGUCGUGGUGUGGGCCUGUAGUCCCAGCUACCUGGGAGACUGAGGUGGAAGGAUCCCUUGAGCCAGAGAGGUUGAGGCUGCAGUGAGCUGUGAUCAUGCCACUGCACACCAGCCUGGGUGACAGAGUGAGAGCCUGUUUAAAAAAAUUUUUUUUUCAAGAAAAUAGAUGAAAAGACAGAGAAUUUUGCCAGAUGUAUAAUCUUCCUUCAGAGAGUAUUUACUCUUUCUUCUGCCAGACAGAUUCAGGGCUGCUUGCCUCAGUCCAAUCAGGGAUUGAACUGAGUCAAGGCAAAGUUGCAGUCUUGGUAAAGCUAUAUUUAUCUUUGGUUCACCUCUGCUUCUAAUCUACGACCUUCUAAAGCUGAGAGUUUGAUGUUUGCGCCAGGGUUCCUCUUCCUGGAAGGUUUUGAACUCCAAUCUUUGUUUCCUCAGCACACUGAGUCUGUCAGAAGUCCACUCUGCUUUUCAGGCUUUCUGGCGAGCCUCUUAGCCUCCUUCCCUCUUUCUCCUUCCCUUCAGAGUUUGGCAAAUAUCUUGAGUGGAAAAUGAGCUGAGCGUUAGAUUCAGUUUUCCACAUACACCCUCCUCACCAGGAUAUUGACUUCUGAAUUCUUAAGUUUUCUUCUUCUCAGCUCUAUGAGGCCAUCGAUAGCUCUAUCAGUGCUGUUGGCCUUCUUCCCAGGCAACACUCAGCUUCUCUGCUUUUUGCUUUCCCAGAAUCAGCAAACACAUCCAGGUAAGAAAAAAAAAGAAAAAAAUAGCUGCAGUAUGUCAGCUCAACCUGACUAUAAAGUCCUACUUGUUUAAGUAGCUCUUUAAUGCCUUUAAAUGACUUUUUUUGGAUUUUUUUCCCGCAUUUUUAGUUGGCCUGUGUGUUAUUAUUGAUCUGCCUCAAAGCUCCUCUCACAUUCAGAAGUGGAAGUCCAUCAGAUCUUUGAUUCUCUCUGUAUAGUUUCUGCUUAUUUCAAGCCCUGGUUGUCUCAGAAACUCUCUAAUGUCUUCAAAAAAGUUUGGGGGUAUUUUUUGAUGGUUUCUAAUUAUUCUCAUCAGGAACAUUAGUUUAUGGCAAGUUACUUUGUCAUACCUUACCUGUAUCUGAAAUGAAAUAACUUGUAUAAAGCAUUUAGUCCAGUGUCUCAUCCUAUUCUAAGAAGAAGGGAAUAAGUAUACUUUACUAUCAUAAAAAUUGAAGAGUAUAACUAGGCUGGUAGCCUGGCAGGAAAAUUAUUUCACCUCUGCUCUCUGAGAGUAUUCUAGGGAUUAUUCUAGUACCUAAAGAAGUGUUUGAUAGCAUCCUCAAAGUUACACCUUGUAAAACAUGACCAAGAUGACUUUGGCCUUUAAAAUUUAAAAUUAAAGUCUAGAUUGCCUUCUCCCAAAUCCUCCCAGUACAAAAUAUCUAAAAAUGCUAGAUAAAAUGCUUUCUAAUUAUAUCUUUAGAAUUAUUGGCUGAGCUGGGAAGAGUAAGGAUGGCCUUAAAGGCCUUCUCUGCCCUCCUAAAUGAAAAGCAAAAGCAGGUCUUUAGAGAGGUAAAUGUGUAUUGAAGCUAGCACCUGUCCUGAAGUUAUUUGCUAAUCCCCAGGAUACCAACAUUUGUUUUUAACAGCUAUGACUGCUAAGGGGACAGAAGACAAAGGAUUAGGGCCCAUUAAAGUGUGUGGGUGGAUUGGGAGUGUCACAGUUAAUAUCUAGUAUAGCUAAGACCUAGAAAGGAUACACUCUCAGUAAGAAAAUAACUUUUACAGAGAAAUUCAGCUAGGAAAGAUGCCUGUCUCAACAUUAGCUUUAGAUGUUAGGUGAGUGCAAAAGUAAUUGUGGUUUUCGCAUUGUUGGGAUUUACCGUUUGAUAUUGGAAUACAUGCUUAAAUAAAUGUGGUUAUGUUACA
RNAcentral lists this long non-coding RNA (2035 nucleotides) under Macaca fascicularis (crab-eating macaque). RNAcentral's name for it is "lncRNA (ENSMFAG00000064474.1)". Lineage: Eukaryota; Metazoa; Chordata; Mammalia; Primates; Cercopithecidae. The record is from RNAcentral.